GAUGAACGCUGGCGGCGUGCUUAACACAUGCAAGUCGAACGAAGCACUCUAUUUGAUUUUCUUCGGAAAUGAAGAUUUUGUGACUGAGUGGCGGACGGGUGAGUAACGCGUGGGUAACCUGCCUCAUACAGGGGGAUAACAGCUGGAAACGGCUGCUAAUACCGCAUAAGCGCACAGCAUUGCAUGAUGCAGUGUGAAAAACUCCGGUGGUAUGAGAUGGACCCGNGUCUGAUUAGAUACGUUGGCGGGGUUAACGGGCCCACCAAGUCGACGAUCAGUAGCCGGACUGAGAGGUUGAUCGGCCACAUUGGGACUGAGAUACGGCCCAGACUCCUACGGGAGGCA
This 345-nucleotide ribosomal RNA is filed under the name uncultured bacterium. Its description in RNAcentral is "bacterial SSU rRNA". It matches the Rfam family "Bacterial small subunit ribosomal RNA", at positions 28 to 350 of the family's 1533-position model. The record is from RNAcentral.